UUUUACCAAAUGCUUUAUCAUAUACAUAAAAUAAAGUGUAUGUAGAACUUUUAGUUAUCAUAAUCACACAGUUAAAGCAUACGAUUUCUUUUCCUCUUGGGUUGCAGAAUGAUCUAGUUUUGGAUAAAGGCGUGCUUCAUUUGGACUUGGCUGAACAGGAACACGUUCAUCCACAACUUCUUCUUCGAGGUGUGACCGUUCACAUUAUGUUUCCCAAAUAAGCAUCCGACCUCCUUAUAUUUCACAUUAUGUUUCAUUUAGACUUGGCUGAACAGGAACAUGUUCAUCCACAACUUCUUCCUCGAGGCGUGACCGUUCACAUUAUCUUUCCCAAAUAAACAUCCGACCUUAUAUUUCCCAGUUAAGUAUCCAGCUACUAGAACAUUAACCCCUGCCUGUUGUGAAUCCGUGGCUUUUAAUCUCUGCCUUAAUUUUUUUUAUAAAUUAAAGGACUGAAUCUUCUCAUCAAUUACCUGGUCAAAUCAAUAAGACAAAAAAAGUAUUUCAAUCUUUGGUUCUAAUGCCUUAUAUCUUUAUAGCAUCAUAGUUCUAGGAUCUAUACUUUGGAUUAUAGAAUCUCGGUAAUAAAUAUUUAUUAUAGUCACAGAUGAUGAUUUUCUUAGAUAUUAUAUUUUUUUUUAUUUUCUCCACAUGGAUUUUUGACAAUCGUUAGUGUCCAGCU
Molecule: long non-coding RNA, 682 nt
Filed under: Helianthus annuus (common sunflower)
Lineage: Eukaryota; Viridiplantae; Streptophyta; Magnoliopsida; Asterales; Asteraceae
Description: hypothetical non coding rna
Source: RNAcentral